This 681-nucleotide long non-coding RNA is filed under the name Felis catus (domestic cat). RNAcentral describes it as "lncRNA (ENSFCAG00000053482.1)". The record is from RNAcentral. Lineage: Eukaryota; Metazoa; Chordata; Mammalia; Carnivora; Felidae.
AUGGGCUCUGUUUACCACAGACCAUUCUGCUUCUUCCUCCUCCCCACCCCACUUCCUCUGCAUCUUCCUCUUCCGCCUUCUCCUUCUUCUUUCCUUGUUCUCCUUCUCUUUUCCCUUCUCCUCUUCCUCUUCUUCUUAAUUUUUAAUUUUUUCAUCUAUUUGUUGGUUGCAGAAACUUCUUUGGCACCUAUGCCAGAAGCCAGAAGUAUGCCACAAUGUAGACCAUAUUCAGAUGAGCAAGUUUAUUGCACCAGAGAAUGGGAUCCAAUCUGUGCGAACAAUGGAAAAACUUACGGAAAUACAUGUGCUUUCUGCAGGGAAAAGAAAAAAAAUGGUGACGAAUUUGAUUUUGUGCAUUUUGGUUACUGUUGAAUAUUGAUCACACUGUAGCUUUCAUUGUCAUCACAUUUUGUGAUACAUUCCACAGCUAUUUAGAAUAUUCUCAAUCAGAGCCUUCAAUUCAUAGGUGACCAGGUACAUCCUAUGAACAGAAGAUGAAAUACAGAGCAUUUAAACUUUUUUCCAACUCUACAUUCCUGUCAUUUCAGGAUUUUUAAUUCUCUGUGUUCAAUUAUUCAAUGAUAAUUUGAAAAACUAAUGUCUUAAUUGCAUGUUUGAUAGCAUAAAAAGCAGCAUAAUUAAAAAAAUAAAUGUUUAACUCAUUAAAAUGUUUAAUUGUUG